RNAcentral lists this ribosomal RNA (739 nucleotides) under uncultured Serratia sp. Its description in RNAcentral is "bacterial SSU rRNA". It matches the Rfam family "Bacterial small subunit ribosomal RNA", at positions 761 to 1502 of the family's 1533-position model. The record is from RNAcentral. Lineage: Bacteria; Pseudomonadati; Pseudomonadota; Gammaproteobacteria; Enterobacterales; Yersiniaceae.
GUGGGGAGCAAACAGGAUUAGAUACCUGGUAGUCCACGCUGUAAACGAUGUCGAUUUGAGGUUGCGCCCUUGAGGCGUGGCUUUCGGAGCUAACGCGUUAAAUCGACCGCCUGGGGAGUACGGCCGCAAGGUUAAAACUCAAAUGAAUUGACGGGGGCCCGCACAAGCGGUGGAGCAUGUGGUUUAAUUCGAUGCAACGCGAAGAACCUUACCUACUCUUGACAUCCAGAGAACUUAGCAGAGAUGCUUUGGUGCCUUCGGGAACUCUGAGACAGGUGCUGCAUGGCUGUCGUCAGCUCGUGUUGUGAAAUGUUGGGUUAAGUCCCGCAACGAGCGCAACCCUUAUCCUUUGUUGCCAGCGGUUCGGCCGGGAACUCAAAGGAGACUGCCAGUGAUAAACUGGAGGAAGGUGGGGAUGACGUCAAGUCAUCAUGGCCCUUACGAGUAGGGCUACACACGUGCUACAAUGGCGUAUACAAAGAGAAGCGACCUCGCGAGAGCAAGCGGACCUCAUAAAGUACGUCGUAGUCCGGAUUGGAGUCUGCAACUCGACUCCAUGAAGUCGGAAUCGCUAGUAAUCGUAGAUCAGAAUGCUACGGUGAAUACGUUCCCGGGCCUUGUACACACCGCCCGUCACACCAUGGGAGUGGGUUGCAAAAGAAGUAGGUAGCUUAACCUUCGGGAGGGCGCUUACCACUUUGUGAUUCAUGACUGGGGUGAAGUCGUAACAAGGUAACCA